This 786-nucleotide ribosomal RNA is filed under the name uncultured bacterium. RNAcentral's name for it is "bacterial SSU rRNA". It matches the Rfam family "Bacterial small subunit ribosomal RNA", at positions 73 to 858 of the family's 1533-position model. The record is from RNAcentral.
GAUGUGCUUGCACAUCGCUGACGAGUGGCGGACGGGUGAGUAAUGCUUGGGAACUUGCCUUUGCGAGGGGGAUAACAGUUGGAAACGACUGCUAAUACCGCAUAAUGUCUACGGACCAAACGGGGCUUCGGCUCCGGCGCAAAGAGAGGCCCAAGUGAGAUUAGCUAGUUGGUAAGGUAACGGCUUACCAAGGCGACGAUCUCUAGCUGUUCUGAGAGGAAGAUCAGCCACACUGGGACUGAGACACGGCCCAGACUCCUACGGGAGGCAGCAGUGGGGAAUAUUGCACAAUGGGGGAAACCCUGAUGCAGCCAUGCCGCGUGUGUGAAGAAGGCCUUCGGGUUGUAAAGCACUUUCAGUUGUGAGGAAAAGUUAGUAGUUAAUACCUGCUAGCCGUGACGUUAACAACAGAAGAAGCACCGGCUAACUCCGUGCCAGCAGCCGCGGUAAUACGGAGGGUGCGAGCGUUAAUCGGAAUUACUGGGCGUAAAGCGCACGCAGGCGGUUUGUUAAGCUAGAUGUGAAAGCCCCGGGCUCAACCUGGGAUGGUCAUUUAGAACUGGCAGACUAGAGUCUUGGAGAGGGGAGUGGAAUUCCAGGUGUAGCGGUGAAAUGCGUAGAUAUCUGGAGGAACAUCAGUGGCGAAGGCGACUCCCUGGCCAAAGACUGACGCUCAUGUGCGAAAGUGUGGGUAGCGAACAGGAUUAGAUACCCUGGUAGUCCACACCGUAAACGCUGUCUACUAGCUGUGUGUGCCUUUAAGGCUGUGCGUAGCGAAGCUAACGC